GACGGAGGGCGCGAGCGUUGUCCGGAAUCACUGGGCGUAAAGGGUCCGUAGGCGGUUUGUUAAGUCUUCUGUGAAAACUCAGGGCUCAACUCUGAGAGGUCGGGGGAUACUGGCAAACUCGAGACUGUCAGAGGCAAGUGGAAUUCCCGGUGUAGUGGUGAAAUGCGUAGAUAUCGGGAGGAACACCAGUGGCGAAAGCGGCUUGCUGGGACAGUUCUGACGCUGAGGGACGAAAGCGUGGGUAGCAAACCGG
RNAcentral lists this unclassified non-coding RNA (253 nucleotides) under uncultured Dehalococcoidia bacterium. RNAcentral describes it as "contains 16S-23S intergenic spacer region". It matches the Rfam family "Bacterial small subunit ribosomal RNA", at positions 524 to 776 of the family's 1533-position model. Lineage: Bacteria; Bacillati; Chloroflexota; Dehalococcoidia. The record is from RNAcentral.